UACGGGGGGGGCAAGCGUUGUUCGGAAUUACUGGGCGUAAAGGGCUCGUAGGCGGCCAACUAAGUCAGACGUGAAAUCCCUCGGCUUAACCGGGGAACUGCGUCUGAUACUGGAUGGCUUGAGUUUGGGAGAGGGAUGCGGAAUUCCAGGUGUAGCGGUGAAAUGCGUAGAUAUCUGGAGGAACACCGGUGGCGAAGGCGGCAUCCUGGACCAACACUGACGCUGAGACACGAAAGCCAGGGGAGCGAACGGG
Molecule: ribosomal RNA, 253 nt
Filed under: uncultured bacterium
Lineage: Bacteria
Description: partial 16S ribosomal RNA
Rfam family: Bacterial small subunit ribosomal RNA
Source: RNAcentral